GGCUGGAGUUUGCAGUCUCCCUGCUCUCUCAGCCCCAGCUUGGGUGUUCCCCAGCUGGGCACUCCAGCUGGGGGGGUUUUGCAGCCAGCUGGGCACUGACCUGCUGCAAACCUCCCUGCCCCUCAAGCCCCACUUACCUCAAGCAAGAACAUUGAGCCCGAAGCAGCCUCCAGUUGGACCUUUACCAAAAUCUGAAUGAAAUCUAAGGCAGGCUAUCUUGGCAUAACUAGCUGAACCUACCUUGCACUGUGACCAUUGAAGAAAAUCAUCCAUGGCUGAUAUGAGGCAAGGAGGCCUUUGGAGCUGAAAUGCCAGAGCCAUGGUCUACAUUACUGUAGGACUGAGACUGCAAUACUAGCUGCAGAAUGAGUGCUGUCACUCUGUACAGCGAGAACCCUCUUGCAAUACCUGUCUAAGUGGCUGUUGCAGAGAGGUCAGGAUUUGGCUCUGAACAAUUAAUCUCUGCAGUACUUGCCAUCAAUAAAUACAUAUUCCAUUUCGCUUGUCUGGUGAGAACUGAGAACUAUGCUUCCUGUUCACUGAGGAAAGAGAUAAAAGGCUCUUCAGUCCUGAUUUCCGUAAGAGAAAUGCACUUACCAUAAUACAGUCAAUAAACUUUGUAAUUUUUCUCAUGAAAACAAGCAUUAGUAGCUUCAGGAAUUAGUGAUGCUCACAACAUUCCUCA
Molecule: long non-coding RNA, 685 nt
Organism: Alligator mississippiensis (American alligator)
Lineage: Eukaryota; Metazoa; Chordata; Crocodylia; Alligatoridae
Exons: 3
Source: RefSeq, a predicted model, not a curated record